GAUGAACGCUGGCGGCGUUCCUAAUACAUGCAAGUCGAGCGAACGGACGAGAAGCUUGCUUUUCUGAUGUUAGCGGCGGACGGGUGAGUAACACGUGGAUAACCUACCUAUAAGACUGGGAUAACUUCGGGAAACCGGAGCUAAUACCGGAUAAUAUUUUGAACCGCAUGGUUCAAAAGUGAAAGACGGUCUUGCUGUCACUUAUAGAUGGAUCCGCGCUGCAUUAGCUAGUUGGUAAGGUAACGGCUUACCAAGGCAACGAUGCAUAGCCGACCUGAGAGGGUGAACGGCCACACUGGUACUGAGACACGGUCCAGACUCCUACGGGAGGCAGCAGUAGGGAAUCUUCCGCAAUGGGCGAAAUCCUGACGGAGCAACGCCGCGUGAGUGAUGAAGGUCUUAGGAUCGUAAAACUCUGUUAUUAGGGAAUAACAUAUGUGUAAGUAACUGUGCACAUCUUGACGGUACCUAAUCAGAAAGCCGCGGCUAACUACGUG
This 497-nucleotide ribosomal RNA is filed under the name uncultured bacterium. Its description in RNAcentral is "partial 16S ribosomal RNA". It matches the Rfam family "Bacterial small subunit ribosomal RNA", at positions 28 to 507 of the family's 1533-position model. The record is from RNAcentral.